UGCCACAUAUUGAGUAUCAGUAUCUCACUAAAUGCUUCGAUAGCCACCUAGGAUGACAAACUAUUUUUCCCAUUUUACAGAUGAAGAAAGAGGCUUGGGAAAUAAUUCGCUGUCCAAGAUCAACAUCUAGGAAAUAGUAGAACUGGAUUUUGAAUCAAGUUAACUCCAAGGCUUGGUACUACCUUGCAGGGAUGUCACACCAAUAUGGCGGUGAAGACAUGGAGUUUUUCCACUGCCAUAUUUUGGUAUCCAUUAGCUGGCUUUGUGGAUUCCGAGUGGCAUCUGCGUCAGGAGUGGCGGCAGCACCUGAUCCAAGCUUCCUGGUCCAGGAGUGGUGCCCGAUCCCUGUGCAUGAAUCCAUGAUGUUGACAUUGGAGCUUGCUUUGGAACCUGUGUUCUGA
RNAcentral lists this long non-coding RNA (401 nucleotides) under Pan paniscus (pygmy chimpanzee). RNAcentral's name for it is "lncRNA (ENSPPAG00000044409.1)". Lineage: Eukaryota; Metazoa; Chordata; Mammalia; Primates; Hominidae. The record is from RNAcentral.